This 253-nucleotide ribosomal RNA is filed under the name uncultured bacterium. Its description in RNAcentral is "partial 16S ribosomal RNA". It matches the Rfam family "Bacterial small subunit ribosomal RNA", at positions 524 to 776 of the family's 1533-position model. The record is from RNAcentral.
UACGUAGGAGACGAGCGUUGUCCGGAAUUACUGGGCGUAAAGCGCGUGUAGGCGGUUGGGCAAGUCUGCUGUGAAAGCUCCUGGCUUAACCGGGAGUGGUCGGUGGAAACUGCCAAUCUGGAGGACGGUAGAGGUAGGUAGAAUUCCCGGUGUAGUGGUGAAAUGCGUAGAGAUCGGGAGGAAUACCUGUGGCGAAGGCGGCCUACUGGGCCGGACCUGACGCUGAGACGCGAAGGCGUGGGGAGCGAACGGG